GGCGGUGUAGCUCAGUUGGUAGAGCAGCGGACUCAUAAGCCGCGGGUCCCCCGUUCAAUCCGGGGCACCGCCACCA
This 76-nucleotide transfer RNA is filed under the name Nitrospira sp. RNAcentral describes it as "tRNA-Met". It matches the Rfam family "tRNA". Rfam says of the family: Transfer RNA (tRNA) molecules are approximately 80 nucleotides in length. Their secondary structure includes four short double-helical elements and three loops (D, anti-codon, and T loops). RNAcentral also lists the same sequence under 12 other names. The record is from RNAcentral. Lineage: Bacteria; Pseudomonadati; Nitrospirota; Nitrospiria; Nitrospirales; Nitrospiraceae.